GAUGUGGUAGUAUAAUAAAAUACAUUUUGCUUACACCAAAAAAUUCAUUUUGUAAUGUCACGUUU
Molecule: transfer RNA, 65 nt
Filed under: Brachidontes mutabilis
Lineage: Eukaryota; Metazoa; Mollusca; Bivalvia; Mytilida; Mytilidae
Also listed under: 1 other name
Description: tRNA-Val
Source: RNAcentral